UACGUAGGUGGCAAGCGUUGUCCGGAUUUACUGGGUGUAAAGGGCGUGUAGCCGGGCUGACAAGUCAGAUGUGAAAUCCGGGGGCUCAACCCCCGAACUGCAUUUGAAACUGUUGGUCUUGAGUAUCGGAGAGGCAGGCGGAAUUCCUAGUGUAGCGGUGAAAUGCGUAGAUAUUAGGAGGAACACCAGUGGCGAAGGCGGAUGACUGGACGGCAACUGACGGUGAGGCGCGAAAGCGUGGGGAGCAAACAGG
This 253-nucleotide ribosomal RNA is filed under the name uncultured bacterium. RNAcentral's name for it is "partial 16S ribosomal RNA". It matches the Rfam family "Bacterial small subunit ribosomal RNA", at positions 524 to 776 of the family's 1533-position model. The record is from RNAcentral.